This 364-nucleotide unclassified non-coding RNA is filed under the name Hevea brasiliensis (rubber tree). Lineage: Eukaryota; Viridiplantae; Streptophyta; Magnoliopsida; Malpighiales; Euphorbiaceae. The record is from RNAcentral.
CGACAAUCAGGAGAAUGGCAUUGAUAAUACGCCAAAAGUGCCCAGCUAUAUGGCACCAACUGAAUCUGCAAGAGCAAAGCUGAGAGGACAAGGAUCACCUAGAUUUUCUCAAGAUGCAAUUGAGAAUAUUGGUACAACCAGAAGGCAUUCUCUGCCAUCUUCCGCUAAUGGCAAGUUUCCUUCAAUGUCACCACGAGCACAGAAACUGGUCCAUGCAGCUGGCAAAGGAGUGACCGGAAGUGAUGUAUCGCUAUCUUCUUCCAGAGAUGACACUGUUUCAGAUAAGGUGAUUAAAGCUGAGUGGAGGAGGUGAUUUUGCAGGAGGAAUGCUUCGUAGGUAUAUUAUACUGAGCAAGGAAAUGAA